This 405-nucleotide ribosomal RNA is filed under the name uncultured bacterium. Its description in RNAcentral is "partial 16S ribosomal RNA". It matches the Rfam family "Bacterial small subunit ribosomal RNA", at positions 28 to 526 of the family's 1533-position model. The record is from RNAcentral.
GAUGAACGCUGGCGGCGUGCCUAAUACAUGCAAGUCGAGAGAAGCGGGGACGGGUGAGUAAUACGUGGAUAACCUCCUAUAAGACUGGGAUAACUUCGGGAAACCGGAGCUAAACCGGAUAAUUAUAGAUGGAUCCGCGCUGCAUUAGCUAGUUGGUCAGGGAACGGCUUACCAAGGCAACGAUGCAUAGCCGACCUGAGAGUGUGAUCGGCCACACUGAAACUGAGCCACGGUCCAGACUCCGACGGGAGGCAGCAGUAGGGAAUCUUCCGCAAUGGGCGAAAGCCUGACGGAGCUACGCCGCGUGAGUUAUGAAGGUCUUCGACUCUUAAAACUCUGUUAUUUGGGAAGCGGUACCUAAUCAUAAAGCCACGGCUAACUACGUGCCAGCAGCCGCGGUAAUUC